Vidua chalybeata is the source of this 789-nucleotide long non-coding RNA. RefSeq lists it as uncharacterized. The record is from RefSeq and is a predicted model, not a curated record. NCBI's taxonomy places the organism in Eukaryota, Metazoa, Chordata, Aves, Passeriformes, Viduidae. The transcript is spliced from 3 exons.
AGCAGAUCUGGAUGAGCACACGGUGUAAAUUGUUGCUGACUGAUCAAGCUGUCAUUACCACCCCAUCCUCACACCCCUAAUACCCUCUGUUUGACCAACAGACCCAGGAGAGCACGUCGGGAUUUUUACAGACUUUCCUGGGCGGUUUGUCAGUCAUUCCAGCCUUUCAAAGUGCGGAGAUACUGCCCUGGGUGGCCCAACAAGCCUAAAAGUGACAUCAACUAUUGUCGUGCAAUUUUGGUUUUGUGGUGCAAGUUACAUGUGGAUUUCAAAGCACUUGUGCAAGAAAAUUAAACUGAUCAAAACUGUGCAGUCAAUGACUUGCACAAAUUCACACCUCAGGUUUCUGCCUGCUCCUGGUCCAUGACUUCCCUUUCGGAUCCCACAAUAUUCCAGUCAUGUGGUUCCAGCCCCUUCCUUGUGAGAGGAGGUGAAGCACGAGCAGAGGCUGCCCAAAGAGGCAGCAGGAAUUCCUUCUUUGAAGAAUCUCAGAACUUAACAAGGCACUGAACAACUUGGAAAACUUUAACCUCAGUCCUGCUCAAAGAGGAGAGGAGACCAAAGGCUCCACAGGGCCUUUCCAAUCUGAACUACACUUAAGCCUGUCUUCCUUCACUGGGGCCAGCAGCAUUUCUGGAAAAUAUAAGAUGAGCACCAGUACAAAUGCCAGACUUGACUAUUUCUGGUAAAUAUGAGUCUAAUGAAAGCCCAUAAUGAGCAUCUGUCACCAUGGCAAGAAACACACAAGAUCCUUCAAAACAGAAGUGGCCAGUUCUGAUCUCACUUAGU